CUUUGGGAGGCCAAGGCGGGCGGAUCACGAGGUCAGGAGAUCGAGACCAUCCUGGCUAACACGGUGAAACCCCGUCUCUACUAAAAAUACAAAAAAUUGGCCGGGCAUGGUGGCGGGCGCCUGUAGUCCCAGCUACUCAGGAGGCUGAGGCAGGAGAAUGGCAUAAACCCGGGAGGCAGAGCUUGCAGUGAGCCGAGAUCGCGCCACUGCACUCCAGCCUG
This 221-nucleotide long non-coding RNA is filed under the name Homo sapiens (human). RNAcentral's name for it is "HSALNT0339685". The record is from RNAcentral. Lineage: Eukaryota; Metazoa; Chordata; Mammalia; Primates; Hominidae.